CAGAUGGUCAGCACAUAGAGGCAGGAUCCCCACCACUACACCUAGCACCUACCAUUACUCUGUGCGGUAGUGUCGAGUGGCGCCAAAAAUGGUGGCGAUCACAUGGAAUUCCUCAGGCUAGGCCUACAUCGCAGCUUCUCUUGCCUGCCUGGACUCAAUCUUUGACAGAUUCUGGGUGAACAUAGCAGCAAGACAGCAGGGUACACCGAAAACUGAACAGCACACAGCUGUAUCUACGACUCCACAAACUGACCUGCACAGACCUGCUCUGUAUCCACAGCCUCCAUGCACCCAGACGGACCGGCAGAGCUCUUUUGGCAGAGCAGUUACUGAAGACCCUCGGGCUUGUUGUACUAUUGGGGUCAGUAAAGCUCAGAAGAGAGCAGCAUAGCAUCUCAUUCUUACACAGUGUGUAUACCUACCUGUUACUUACCUUUUGAAGGGAGACCAACAAUCUCAAUAUAGACUGGGCAUUGGAUGAGGGAGUGAGACAACCCAGGCUGCCCAGUGGUACACAUGUGGUGGAGUCCUGUUAUAUCCCCGCUUUUAAGUCAAUUAGUUAACUCCCCAAAAAAUAAAAAUGUGCAGUAUAUAAGACAGCCAUGCAACUUUUUUGUUAUUUUAUAUUUUCUGUUAUUGAUGUCGCUGUUAUGGCGUUACAUGCUAUAUUGUACUUUC
Molecule: non-coding RNA, 678 nt
Organism: Pelobates cultripes (western spadefoot toad)
Lineage: Eukaryota; Metazoa; Chordata; Amphibia; Anura; Pelobatidae
Source: the annotation of a GenBank genome assembly